GGGAGCGUGGCUCAGAUGGUAGAGAGCUCGCUUAGCAUGCGAGAGGUACGGCGAUCGAUACCCCACGCCUCCA
Molecule: transfer RNA, 73 nt
Filed under: Trichonephila inaurata madagascariensis
Lineage: Eukaryota; Metazoa; Arthropoda; Arachnida; Araneae; Nephilidae
Description: tRNA-Ala
Rfam family: tRNA
About the family: Transfer RNA (tRNA) molecules are approximately 80 nucleotides in length. Their secondary structure includes four short double-helical elements and three loops (D, anti-codon, and T loops).
Source: RNAcentral